This 555-nucleotide long non-coding RNA is filed under the name Physcomitrium patens. Its description in RNAcentral is "long non-coding RNA (PPAT_LNC000109)". Lineage: Eukaryota; Viridiplantae; Streptophyta; Bryopsida; Funariales; Funariaceae. The record is from RNAcentral.
GGGAACCCGAUGUCACCUCCGGAAUGGGGCAGUGUGGCCAUGGUGUUCUCCGGUCUUUCAUACCAGAUUUGGUGCAAGUGCCUAAAGAAGCGGGACAAAUUAGCUGACCUUGUCCGAUUGAACAACCCUAACCAUUCCCGAGGGAGCAGCUGGCAGAUUCAACAUUGAAAAAUCACACAUACUCCCACAGCUAUCCAUUAUCCAACACAAUUGACAACGGUAAAUCCAACUCCGUAUACUGAUACCAUUCCACAGUAGUUCUGCAACUUCUACUUGGUUGCGGCAACAAAACACUGCAAUUAGAAAUGGGCUGUUUCCUCAAGAAAUAGGAUUUUGAUGAACUCACCAUAAGUGUUGCCAAAUGGGUUCUUCCACGUCCGGCCGGCACUUUGCUGUUACCUAUCCCAAACUCAGAGACGCAGAAACACAAACAAAUCGAUAGCAUUCAUGCUCUUGGACCAAUUUACCAUUAUCCCAGUUGGGUCUUUCACAAUCAGAGCAAGCAAUGCAACUAACAGGGAAGUGGCUCAAUGAGAAUGACAACAUAAGACUGAU